UCAGGUCGUCCGAGUUGUAGUCUAGAGAAUCGUUUUCCGCGUUGGCCUGUGUACAAGUCCCUUGGAACAGGGCGUCAUAGAGGGUGAGAAUCCCGUCCUUGACACAGACUACCAAUGCUUUGUGAUGCGAUCUCGAAGAGUCGAGUUGUUUGGGAAUGCAGCUCAAAAUGGGUGGUAAAUUCCAUCUAAAGCUAAAUAUUGGCGAGAGACCGAUAGCGAACAAGUACCGUGAGGGAAAGAUGAAAAGCACUUUGGAAAGAGAGUUAAACAGUACGUGAAAUUGUUAAAAGGGAAACGAUUGAAGUCAGUCAUGCUUUCCGAGACUCAGCCGAUUCUGUCGGUGUACUUCUCGGUUGGCAGGCCAGCAUCAGUUUCGAUCUGUGGAAAAGGUUGGAGGGAACGUGGCAUCCUCGGAUGUGUUAUAGCCCUUCUUCGAAUACAUAGAGCG
This 448-nucleotide ribosomal RNA is filed under the name Mrakia gelida. RNAcentral's name for it is "partial large subunit ribosomal RNA". It matches the Rfam family "Eukaryotic large subunit ribosomal RNA", at positions 129 to 582 of the family's 3401-position model. The record is from RNAcentral. Lineage: Eukaryota; Fungi; Basidiomycota; Tremellomycetes; Cystofilobasidiales; Mrakiaceae.